RNAcentral lists this ribosomal RNA (567 nucleotides) under Botryosphaeria dothidea. RNAcentral's name for it is "eukaryotic LSU rRNA". The stretch from base 204 to 357 matches the Rfam family "5.8S ribosomal RNA". The record is from RNAcentral. Lineage: Eukaryota; Fungi; Ascomycota; Dothideomycetes; Botryosphaeriales; Botryosphaeriaceae.
GCGUAGCGACUGCGGAGACAUUACCGAGUUGAUUCGGGCUCCGGCCCGAUCCUCCCACCCUUUGUGUACCUACCUCUGUUGCUUUGGCGGGCCGCGGUCCUCCGCGGCCGCCCCCCUCCCCGGGGGGGUGGCCAGCGCCCGCCAGAGGACCAUCAAACUCCAGUCAGUAAACGAUGCAGUCUGAAAAACAUUUAAUAAACUAAAACUUUCAACAACGGAUCUCUUGGUUCUGGCAUCGAUGAAGAACGCAGCGAAAUGCGAUAAGUAAUGUGAAUUGCAGAAUUCAGUGAAUCAUCGAAUCUUUGAACGCACAUUGCGCCCUUUGGUAUUCCGAAGGGCAUGCCUGUUCGAGCGUCAUUACAACCCUCAAGCUCUGCUUGGUAUUGGGCACCGUCCUUUGCGGGCGCGCCUCAAAGACCUCGGCGGUGGCGUCUUGCCUCAAGCGUAGUAGAACAUACAUCUCGCUUCGGAGCGCAGGGCGUCGCCCGCCGGACGAACCUUCUGAACUUUUCUCAAGGUUGACCUCGGAUCAGGUAGGGAUACCCGCUGAACUUAAGCAUAUCAAAA